CAAACAACAACGGGGGGGGUGGGGUGUCGGGGGGGGGGAAGAAAGACAGAGAGAGAGAGGAGUUUUUAGUAAUUAGUGCGACAUAAUUGAGUAAUGCGGCAGCUCCUCGCUCCAGCCCCCCCCUCCACCCCCCCCUUUCCCACUUCCCCCCUGCUCUUCUUCUUCCCCGAUCGAUGCAAUAUCAUUAGGGAAGAGCCCGAAAGGCAAAACGACGCGGCCCCAAAUAAGAGGCGGAGAAGCACCUGAGGGUGAGAUUUAUGGCAUCCAGCGAUCAGAAAGGUUAAAUGUGAGGCCAGAUCGAUCUUCCCCCCCCAUCGCCAUCCCUCCCCAUUGCCUGCAGCCAUCCUGGAGGACGUGGCUCAGCCUGAAGUGGCCAAGUGACCACGUAGGACCGCGGGACCCGAAGAUGCUGCUGACCAAUGGCUGCCCAAAGGAGCCCUUGUUGCUUAGCAACUCGGCUGCAGAGAGAGAGGGAGAGAGCGCAAAAAGAUGGAUUUUCAGAUUGCAGCAGCCAAGCAGAUCAAUUCUGCAACAUGGGCUACAGUGGCCAAGCGGAAUCUCUCUUGCUCCCAGCAGCAAUGAUAAAGGGAGACUUCCAAUGGAAAAGCCCAGUGGAAGAGCAGCAAUGGGAGACCCCAAUGGGAGAUCCCAAUGGGAGACCCUCAAUUGGUGACACCCACUGGGAGACAUCCAGUGGGUGACCCCUAUUGAAGAACACCAAUGGAAGAGCAUCAAAACCCCACUGGGAGACACCCAGUGGGAGACCCCAGUGGAAAACUACCCAUAGAAGAGAAUCAAGGCCUCUGUGGGUGAUGCCCAGUGAGAGACCGCAGUGGAGGUCCACAAUGGGAGACCCUAAUGGAUGAGCCCCCAGUGGAAGACCACAAUGGGAGACCCUAAUGGAUGAGCCCCCAAUGGAAGACAACAAUAGGAGUCUCCAAGCAGGCUGGACCAGAUAGCAGCUUGGAACUGAUGAACCUCCAUUUAGGACAAACUGCUGGGAUGCUGAGAUGGAAGAGCAGCACUAAAGCUGCAUCAAAAAGGAGGCUGC
RNAcentral lists this long non-coding RNA (1051 nucleotides) under Coturnix japonica (Japanese quail). RNAcentral describes it as "lncRNA (ENSCJPG00005010312.1)". Lineage: Eukaryota; Metazoa; Chordata; Aves; Galliformes; Phasianidae. The record is from RNAcentral.